UGGAGCGACUGCACACUCCAAGCAGACCAACCUACCUAAUAUUUUUCUUUCCUUGGAGCCAAGUGGCCACAAGCUGCCACCGAAGGGACCAGGGAGUGCACAGCAGAACUGAGUAGCUAGAACUAGGGGGUCAAGGGUUUUUGUAGCAUUAUGCCGUUGAGGAGAAAAAUACGACCAAUUUCUGCUUCAGGGAAGUUAGAAACAUCCACACUGAGCAGCCUUCUGAAUGAUCUGAGAGAGGCGGCAGCAACAACAGACCCUUUGUUUCGUCGGGCUCAGACUUCAUUAGGAGCCCACAGGCUGCAAGCCACAUCUCCAGUUUCAGAAGGUCAGAAGGAGGUUCCCCAGCUUCCAGAAUGGCUGAUGAAAGAGAUGCUGAAAGGACAACAGAGGAGUCAUUCCAUCGGAUUCAUGGAAAACAUAUCGGAGAGUGGAAGUUUUCGUCAUCGUGUUGAUUCCUCCAGAAGUCAAUGGAAAAGAAAGGUAGGGUGGGUUCUUGUGCUGGGUUCUGACAGGCUUCAAAAUAUGAAACAUGGUGAGAAACUGUGUGAUAAAGCAUGCUAGUAUAAUUUAUAGAGACAGAGCUGGCCCUACCAAUAGAUGCAAUGAGACAAUUGCCUGAAUUAACAGACAACAUGGGAAGCAACUGAAAGACCUGAGCAGGGCUGUUGCGGAUAUGGUGACCUGGAGAUCUUUCAUUCAUAUUGUCACCAUAAAUGGAAGUCAAAUUGAAGGCAGUUAAUAACAACAGUGGGAGAAGGAGUACCAUGAGGAAGAUUCAACUGCAGGUGAACCAAACAAUUUGCCCUGAACUUCAUAAGGUGGCACAUUCACAUCAGGUAUUGAAGAGACAGCUAAUACUAAAGUAACACUGAAGUGACAGUCAGACAGCUUUUACACAGAGUCCAGAAUGAGCAUCAAAUUGCCUUUUGAUUUCAGGGAGAAAAAUGCCUUGGAAACAACCUGGCAUGAAGAAUAUCUGCUUGGAAGUUAUUUUCUUUCCUAAACAAUUAGAUUAAAAUAGAUAGCCCUUGCUUUCAAUAUUCAAAAAUGGAAUCAUUUGAUGUAUUAUAAUUGCCAUAGGGAUGGUAUCCAAAACAGUCUUGGGGCUAUAUGGAUGGAUGGAUGGAUAGAUAGAUAGAUAGAUGAUAGAUAGAUAGAUAAAAACAGGAGAAUGAAGCAAGAUUCCUUGUAUACUAAGAAAUCCUGGUACUUCAGAUGUUCCUGGACUGCAGAGUCCAGCAGUCUUAACCAGCAGAGCUAAUGGCAAAGAUUAUUGGGAUUGUUGAAGGCUUUCAUGACCAGAAUCACUGGGCUGCUGUGAGUUUUCCAGGCUGUGUGGCCAUAUUCCAGAAGUAUUCUCUCCUGACAUUUCACCUGCAUCUAUGGUAGGCAUCCUCAGAGGUUGUGAGGUCCUCAGAGGUUGUGAAGCAAUUCAAUACUGGGAUUUCUGCUCCCAGAACUUCAGAAAGGCCAUAUAAUUCCUGCCAUUAUCCCAACUAUUUCCAGAUA
Molecule: long non-coding RNA, 1512 nt
Filed under: Anolis carolinensis (green anole)
Lineage: Eukaryota; Metazoa; Chordata; Lepidosauria; Squamata; Anolidae
Description: lncRNA (ENSACAG00000037673.1)
Source: RNAcentral